This 75-nucleotide transfer RNA is filed under the name Streptomyces sp. JV178. Its description in RNAcentral is "tRNA-Phe". It matches the Rfam family "tRNA". From Rfam's summary of the family: Transfer RNA (tRNA) molecules are approximately 80 nucleotides in length. The record is from RNAcentral. Lineage: Bacteria; Bacillati; Actinomycetota; Actinomycetes; Kitasatosporales; Streptomycetaceae.
GGUCCUUUGGCAGAGAUGGUAAUGCACUCGGUUGAAGCCCGAGAUAUCUCAGUUCGAUUCUGAGGGGGACCACAA